RNAcentral lists this ribosomal RNA (734 nucleotides) under uncultured bacterium. Its description in RNAcentral is "bacterial SSU rRNA". It matches the Rfam family "Bacterial small subunit ribosomal RNA", at positions 9 to 731 of the family's 1533-position model. The record is from RNAcentral.
UAGUUUGAUCCUGGCUCAGGACGAACGCUGACGGUGUGCUUUAGACAUGCAAGUCGAACGAGAAAGCCCUUCGGGGUGAGUAAAGUGGCGAACGGGUGCGUAACACGUGGGUAAUCUACCCCUCGCAGAGGGACAACCGGGGGAAACCCCGGCUAAUACCUCGUACGCUCUACAAACCGCAUGGUAAGUAGAGGAAGGGUAGCUUCGGCCAUCCGGCGAGGGAUGAGCCCGCGGUACAUUAGCUAGUUGGUGAGGUAACGGCUCACCAAGGCUACGAUGUAUAGCUGGUCUGAGAGGAUGAUCAGCCACACUGGGACUGAGACACGGCCCAGACUCCUACGGGAGGCAGCAGUCGGGAAUCUUGCACAAUGGGCGAAAGCCUGAUGCAGCAACACCGUGUGAGCGAUGAAGGCCUUCGGGUCGUAAAGCUCUGUUGUUAGGGACGAAGGGCGAAGGGUUAAUAGCCCCUAGCUUGACGGUACCUUUCGAGGAAGCCCCGGCUAACUACGUGCCAGCAGCCGCGGUAAUACGUAGGGGGCGAGCGUUGUCCGGAAUUAUUGGGCGUAAAGAGCGUGUAGGCGGCCAGAUAAGUCUGCUGUGAAACCUUGGGGCUCAACCCCAAGCGUGCAGUGGAUACUGUUAGGCUAGAGGAUGGUAGAGGCGAGUGGAAUUCCCGGUGUAGCGGUGAAAUGCGCAGAUAUCGGGAGGAACACAGUAGCGAAGGCGGCUCGCUG